This 393-nucleotide ribosomal RNA is filed under the name uncultured bacterium. RNAcentral's name for it is "partial 16S ribosomal RNA". It matches the Rfam family "Bacterial small subunit ribosomal RNA", at positions 523 to 918 of the family's 1533-position model. The record is from RNAcentral.
AUACGGAGGAUGCGAGCGUUAUCCGGAUUUAUUGGGUUUAAAGGGUGCGUAGGCUGUGCGUUAAGUCAGGGGUGAAAUGCCGUCGCUCAAUGACGGAGCUGCCCUUGAUACUGGCGUGCUGGAGUACGGAUGCCGUUGGAGGAAUGAGUGGUGUAGCGGUGAAAUGCUUAGAUAUCACUCAGAACACCGAUUGCGAAGGCAUCUGACGAAUCCGUCACGGACGCUGAGGCACGAAAGCGUGGGGAUAGAACAGGAUUAGAUACCCCGGUAUCCCACGCCGUAAACGAUGAUGACUAACCGUCGGCGAUAGACAGCCGGUGGCCAAGCGAAAGCGAUAAGUCAUCCACCUGGGGAGUACGUCGGCAACGAUGAAACUCAAAUGAAUUGGCGGGG